AGCGUAGGCGGCAAGGCAAGUCUGAUGUGAAAACCCAGGGCUUAACCCUGGGACUGCAUUGGAAACUGUCUGGCUCGAGUGCCGGAGAGGUAAGCGGAAUUCCUAGUGUAGCGGUGAAAUGCGUAGAUAUUAGGAAGAACACCAGUGGCGAAGGCGGCUUACUGGACGGUAACUGACGUUGAGGCUCGAAAGCGUGGGGAGCAAACA
This 207-nucleotide ribosomal RNA is filed under the name uncultured bacterium. RNAcentral's name for it is "partial 16S ribosomal RNA". It matches the Rfam family "Bacterial small subunit ribosomal RNA", at positions 568 to 774 of the family's 1533-position model. The record is from RNAcentral.